UUGCAGGUGAAUGGUGGUAGUGAGCAGCAUCUCCAGAAAAUAACUACAGAAGAAAUCCACUUCUCUAUUAAGUCUGAAAUUCAUCCAGAUUCAGAGAUUGUAGGUGGCGUUAACGUUAAUGACUUGACACAACAAGAAGAAGAAUAUAGACAUAAAAUUGAGCUUGAAGCGGAGGAAAGAAAGCUUGAAGAGAUUCUGGAGUAUCAGAGGAGCAUCGAGAAUGAGGGCAAGCAGAAGCAUCUUGCCGUUGACGGUGAAGCACUAGAAAAUUGCUUUGUGCCUUCUGAGGGAUGGAUAGGAAGACAACACA
Papaver somniferum (opium poppy) is the source of this 310-nucleotide long non-coding RNA. RefSeq lists it as uncharacterized. The record is from RefSeq and is a predicted model, not a curated record. The transcript is spliced from 3 exons. Lineage: Eukaryota; Viridiplantae; Streptophyta; Magnoliopsida; Ranunculales; Papaveraceae.